AGAGAAAAUAUGAGGAGGCGUGAGUGAAAAAGGAUGGUGCACAUAAUGGGUGGGUGUGGGGUUUUUGACUCCUCAUCCUUUCUUUCUUACAACCAAAGGUUGGUUGUUAAGGUCUCUUCCUCUCUCUCCCUCUUUGUCGAAGAGUUGGACAUGACUUUCUCUCCCCUUUUUCUUCACAGAUGUUUAAGAGUUGGACAUGCCUUCUUCUCUAUGAUCAGUUCAAGGUUGG
Molecule: long non-coding RNA, 229 nt
Filed under: Elaeis guineensis (African oil palm)
Lineage: Eukaryota; Viridiplantae; Streptophyta; Magnoliopsida; Arecales; Arecaceae
Description: long non-coding RNA (EGUI_LNC064539)
Source: RNAcentral